Molecule: ribosomal RNA, 253 nt
Filed under: uncultured bacterium
Lineage: Bacteria
Description: partial 16S ribosomal RNA
Rfam family: Bacterial small subunit ribosomal RNA
Source: RNAcentral
GACAGAGGAGGCAAGCGUUCUCCGGAAUUAUUGGGCGUAAAGCGUCCGUCGGUGGUUUGGCAAGUCUGGGGUUAAAGCCCGGAGCCUAACUCCGGAUCGGCCCUGGAAACUGCCAGACUAGAGUAAGGUAGGGGUUGCGGGAAUUCCCGGUGUAGCGGUGAAAUGCGUAGAUAUCGGGAAGAACACCAGUGGCGAAAGCGCGCAACUGGGCCAUUACUGACACUGAGGGACGAAAGCUAGGGGAGCGAAGGGG